This 445-nucleotide ribosomal RNA is filed under the name uncultured bacterium. RNAcentral's name for it is "partial 16S ribosomal RNA". It matches the Rfam family "Bacterial small subunit ribosomal RNA", at positions 354 to 796 of the family's 1533-position model. The record is from RNAcentral.
GUGAGGAAUAUUGGUCAAUGGGCGAGAGCCUGAACCAGCCAAGUAGCGUGAAGGAUGACUGCCCUAUGGGUUGUAAACUUCUUUUAUAAAGGAAUAAAGUCGGGUAUGGAUACCCGUUUGCAUGUACUUUAUGAAUAAGGAUCGGCUAACUCCGUGCCAGCAGCCGCGGUAAUACGGAGGAUCCGAGCGUUAUCCGGAUUUAUUGGGUUUAAAGGGAGCGUAGAUGGAUGUUUAAGUCAGUUGUGAAAGUUUGCGGCUCAACCGUAAAAUUGCAGUUGAUACUGGAUAUCUUGAGUGCAGUUGAGGCAGGCGGAAUUCGUGGUGUAGCGGUGAAAUGCUUAGAUAUCACGAAGAACUCCGAUUGCGAAGGCAGCCUGCUAAGCUGCAACUGACAUUGAGGCUCGAAAGUGUGGGUAUCAAACAGGAUUAGAAACCCCUGUAGUCC